CAGAGGAAAACUGUAGAGUUCUGUCCUCAGUUCUCAGAUCAAACUCCUCCAGACUGAGAGAACUGGACCUGAGUCACAAUAACCUGCAGGAUUCAGGAGUGAAGCUGCUCUCUGCUGGACUGGAGAAUCCACACUGUACACUGGAGAUACUGAGGAUGUGUUACUGCAGGAUUACAGAUGAAGGUUGUGCUGCUCUGGCUUCUGCUCUGAGGUCAAACUCCUCAUCACACCUGAGAGAACUGGAUCUGAAGUAUAAUAAUCCAGGAGAAUCAGGAGUGAAGCUGCUCUCUGAUCUACUGAAGGAUCCACACUGUAACCUGGAGACACUACACAUUAAGGGUAAUAAACUCACCAGGACUAGCGUAUGACAGGAGUCUCACCUCAAACCUCUUCUCCAGGAUAAAGCAGUCUCGGUGAAGAGUUAGAACCCGUUCCACAUUUCCAGCAGUUUGGGAGCUGAAUCAUUAAACUUAAAGGGGCAGAGCAGAAACAAAGUCAAGAACAUGCAUAAGAUCGUACACAGGAGAAAUCAACACACGUAACCAAAUAUCUGCUGUACAAAGCAACGGCACCGAUCUGCCCCGGGGAUGGAGACUGACGAGGCUUAAGUACACGUCCGGAAAUGUACAGACAACUCAUCCCAAAGCACGAGGCGGGAGCAGGCGUGUACGAGAUGUGAUCGUCCAAUGGCAAGCAGGAACAUGACGCAUUGCAGUGGACUGGGCUUAAAAGAGGAGACAAGACACCCAUCCCUCCCCCGACAUAGACACACGAAUGGAACAUAGUACAAACAGAAAUACAACUGAGCACGUAUCAAUGGUCAAGUAUCAAAUAAAAUGUAAACUUACA
This is a long non-coding RNA of Ictalurus punctatus (channel catfish), 849 nucleotides long. RefSeq lists it as uncharacterized. The transcript has 3 exons. Lineage: Eukaryota; Metazoa; Chordata; Actinopteri; Siluriformes; Ictaluridae. The record is from RefSeq and is a predicted model, not a curated record.